RNAcentral lists this small nuclear RNA (42 nucleotides) under Cervus elaphus hippelaphus. The record is from RNAcentral. Lineage: Eukaryota; Metazoa; Chordata; Mammalia; Artiodactyla; Cervidae.
GUGCUUGCUUUGGCAGCACAUAUACUAAAAUUCAAACAUACA